This 62-nucleotide transfer RNA is filed under the name Acheta domesticus (house cricket). RNAcentral's name for it is "tRNA-Arg". The record is from RNAcentral. Lineage: Eukaryota; Metazoa; Arthropoda; Insecta; Orthoptera; Gryllidae.
AAUUAAGAAGCAAUAAUGCGUUCAGUUUCGACCUGAAAGAAAGAUUUAAUAAUCCUUAAUUA